GGGGGUGUACCGGUUUCGACUGGUACGGUUCGGGAUGCAGGCUGCAGGUGGAGUGCCGAUCUCCUAACAUUCGGCGACAAUUUAACUGCCGACUACGACAGUUACGCUCUCGCUGCAUAAACAGCGGAACGCGGAAGCCGGUCCCGCCGCCUUGAGGGGCCGAACUUCCGACGCAAUCAAGGCUGGUCGCAGGAAACUUUGUUUCCGCCUCUGUUUUCGGGGGAGGGACGACGAGACAUUUCCGGAAUACGGACGGGCCGCAUACCGCGGCGCCAAGCCCGCCCCGACAAUAUAAGACGCGGUUAAACCUGUAGAGGCCUGUAUUUCGCGUAUUAGGACGCGGGUUCGACUCCCGCCACCUCCAAAA
RNAcentral lists this transfer-messenger RNA (367 nucleotides) under Spirochaetaceae bacterium. It matches the Rfam family "transfer-messenger RNA". Rfam says of the family: Bacterial tmRNA, also known as 10Sa RNA or SsrA, is named for its dual tRNA and mRNA-like properties. Lineage: Bacteria; Pseudomonadati; Spirochaetota; Spirochaetia; Spirochaetales; Spirochaetaceae. The record is from RNAcentral.